Molecule: ribosomal RNA, 253 nt
Filed under: uncultured bacterium
Lineage: Bacteria
Description: partial 16S ribosomal RNA
Rfam family: Bacterial small subunit ribosomal RNA
Source: RNAcentral
UACGUAGGGUGCGAGCGUUGUCCGGAAUUAUUGGGCGUAAAGGGCUCGUAGGCGGUCUGUCGCGUCGGGGGUGAAAACUCAGGGCUUAACCCUGAGCCUGCUUCCGAUACGGGCAGACUAGAGGUAUGCAGGGGAGAACGGAAUUCCUGGUGUAGCGGUGGAAUGCGCAGAUAUCAGGAGGAACACCGGUGGCGAAGGCGGUGCUCUGGGCAUUACCUGACGCUGAGGAGCGAAAGUGUGGGGAGCGAACAGG